CGUCUCUACGAUAUUUGCGUUUCCUUUUUCAUGGACCGUAAUCUUCGCUUGGAGACGCAGAAGAUCCAUGACCAAUAUCUCGUUACUGCAGGCAUUAGGCACUAGUGCAGUCCUGCAUCUCCAUAUAUUGGCCACAUU
RNAcentral lists this small nucleolar RNA (138 nucleotides) under Drosophila ananassae. Its description in RNAcentral is "snoRNA:GF26193". The record is from RNAcentral. Lineage: Eukaryota; Metazoa; Arthropoda; Insecta; Diptera; Drosophilidae.